Molecule: ribosomal RNA, 506 nt
Filed under: uncultured bacterium
Lineage: Bacteria
Description: bacterial SSU rRNA
Rfam family: Bacterial small subunit ribosomal RNA
Source: RNAcentral
AUUGAACGCUGGCGGAAUGCUUUACACAUGCAAGUCGAACGGCAGCACGGGGCAACCUGGUGGCGAGUGGCGAACGGGUGAGUAAUACAUCGGAACGUGCCCAAUCGUGGGGGAUAACGUAGCGAAAGUUACGCUAAUACCGCAUACGAUCUACGGAUGAAAGCGGGGGAUCGCAAGACCUCGCGCGAAUGGAGCGGCCGAUGUCAGAUUAGGUAGUUGGUGGGGUAAAGGCUCACCAAGCCGACGAUCUGUAGCUGGUCUGAGAGGACGACCAGCCACACUGGGACUGAGACACGGCCCAGACUCCUACGGGAGGCAGCAGUGGGGAAUUUUGGACAAUGGGCGCAAGCCUGAUCCAGCCAUUCCGCGUGCAGGAUGAAGGCCUUCGGGUUGUAAACUGCUUUUGUACGGAACGAAACGGUCUGCCCUAAUACGGUGGGCGUAAUGACGGUACCGUAAGAAUAAGCACCGGCUAACUACGUGCCAGCAGCCGCGGUAAAGUACUA